GACGGAGGAUGCAAGCGUUAUCCGGAAUGAUUGGGCGUAAAGCGUCCGCAGGUGGCAGUUCAAGUCUGCUGUCAAAGACCGGGGCUUAACUUCGGAAAGGCAGUGGAAACUGAACAGCUAGAGUAUGGUAGGGGCAGAGGGAAUUCCUGGUGUAGCGGUGAAAUGCGUAGAGAUCAGGAAGAACAUCGGUGGCGAAGACGCUCUGCUGGACCAUAACUGACACUCAGGGACGAAAGCUAGGGGAGCGAAUGGG
Molecule: ribosomal RNA, 253 nt
Filed under: uncultured bacterium
Lineage: Bacteria
Description: partial 16S ribosomal RNA
Rfam family: Bacterial small subunit ribosomal RNA
Source: RNAcentral